UGACUCAAAGAAACUUUCACCGAAGAAUAAAAACAAAAGCGGAAACGUUUCUCAAAAAUCUGCGGAAACAUCGUUAUUUUGAUAUCUCCAUACGUCGCGUCAAUUUAAUAAAUUCGUAAAAACUGGUCGCCCGUUACGCAAAAAAUCCUUCGUAUAAUCAGAUCAUGUCAUACGAAGUAACUUUCAAAAGUAAACGUAACAGGUUUUACUAAAAAGUACUUUCCUUAUAGCAAAAACCAAGCUGUAUGAUCCGACCUUGGACGACCAAUAUAAACUUUACUUCCUCGCACCACGAUCUGAAAGGUCUCAUUCUGUAGCCCCACGACUCACUGGCAUCCGCUCUCAUUCCGCUUGGUCACGUCCGAGCAGGAAACCACCCCGCAACUGACCCUGCACGGGCUCUGUAUCGAGCAUCUUAGGCUUUAUCUCCCUCCGAAACAAAGGAAACAACUUCCAUACGAAUAAAGAAA
Molecule: long non-coding RNA, 470 nt
Filed under: Brassica napus (rape)
Lineage: Eukaryota; Viridiplantae; Streptophyta; Magnoliopsida; Brassicales; Brassicaceae
Description: long non-coding RNA (BNAP_LNC021575)
Source: RNAcentral